RNAcentral lists this ribosomal RNA (453 nucleotides) under Escherichia coli. RNAcentral's name for it is "bacterial SSU rRNA". It matches the Rfam family "Bacterial small subunit ribosomal RNA", at positions 199 to 647 of the family's 1533-position model. The record is from RNAcentral. Lineage: Bacteria; Pseudomonadati; Pseudomonadota; Gammaproteobacteria; Enterobacterales; Enterobacteriaceae.
ACCUUCGGGCCUCUUGCCAUCGGAUGUGCCCAGAUGGGAUUAGCUAGUAGGUGGGGUAAAGGCUCACCUAGGCGACGAUCCCUAGCUGGUCUGAGAGGAUGACCAGCCACACUGGAACUGAGACACGGUCCAGACUCCUACGGGAGGCAGCAGUGGGGAAUAUUGCACAAUGGGCGCAAGCCUGAUGCAGCCAUGCCGCGUGUAUGAAGAAGGCCUUCGGGUUGUAAAGUACUUUCAGCGGGGAGGAAGGGAGUAAAGUUAAUACCUUUGCUCAUUGACGUUACCCGCAGAAGAAGCACCGGCUAACUCCGUGCCAGCAGCCGCGGUAAUACGGAGGGUGCAAGCGUUAAUCGGAAUUACUGGGCGUAAAGCGCACGCAGGCGGUUUGUUAAGUCAGAUGUGAAAUCCCCGGGCUCAACCUGGGAACUGCAUCUGAUACUGGCAAGCUUGAGU